AGAUUGAACGCUGGCGGCAGGCCUAACACAUGCAAGUCGAGCGGUAGAGAGGUGCUUGCACCUCUUGAGAGCGGCGGACGGGUGAGUAAUGCCUAGGAAUCUGCCUAGUGGUGGGGGAUAACGUUCGGAAACGGACGCUAAUACCGCAUACGUCCUACGGGAGAAAGCGGGGGACCUUCGGGCCUCGCGCCAUUAGAUGAGCCUAGGUCGAUUAGCUAGUUGGUGAGGUAAUGGCUCACCAAGG
RNAcentral lists this ribosomal RNA (244 nucleotides) under uncultured soil bacterium. RNAcentral's name for it is "partial 16S ribosomal RNA". It matches the Rfam family "Bacterial small subunit ribosomal RNA", at positions 26 to 273 of the family's 1533-position model. The record is from RNAcentral.